Non-coding RNA from Pelobates cultripes (western spadefoot toad), 378 nucleotides. Lineage: Eukaryota; Metazoa; Chordata; Amphibia; Anura; Pelobatidae. The record is from the annotation of a GenBank genome assembly.
GGUAGACAAGACUAUAGAUGACGUGACCCCUACUUUCAUACACCAAGACAUCACAGACCUCGAAGAUGAUACUCCACAUACACCCCUUCAAUCACAUCAGUUCAAACAAACAACUGCUUUCCUGUAGGGACAGUAUAGGGAAAGCGUCUGUCUUAACUGGCAAGUCUCACGUGUGGAGAUGUAGUGGACUAGCCACUGCGGGUUACCCGCGGAGUGAAGUGUUCGAUGCUAGUUAAGACAGAUAGGUUGCAGGCAACUAGGGACAUAUUAGGGACAGUAGCAGUUGUUAUGGUAAAUAGCCAUUUUAGGGGGGACUGUUGUGGAAAUAAAGUCUGCACAUAUUUCCUAGUUAGUGAAAAAUGUCUAUUUACUCAUUUC